Molecule: ribosomal RNA, 370 nt
Filed under: uncultured eukaryote
Lineage: Eukaryota
Description: partial 18S ribosomal RNA
Rfam family: Eukaryotic small subunit ribosomal RNA
Source: RNAcentral
CAAUAGCGUAUAUUAAAGUUGUUGCAGUUAAAAAGCUCGUAGUAGGAUUUCUGGUCGGAAGCUCCUGUCCUCUGAUGAGCGUACAAGUGCGUCCUACCAUCCUUCUGUUAACCUUUAAGGCUUUCGCGGCUUUCUAGGGGCUCAGAUAUUUUACCUUGAGAAAAUUAGAGUGUUUCAGGCAGGCUAGCGCCGGAAUACAUUAGCAUGGAAUAAUGGAAUAGGACUUUUGCCUCUUCUGUUGGUCAUGAGGCUCGAGUAAUGAUUAAUAGGGAUAGUUGGGGGCAUUAGUACUUAACUGUCAGAGGUGAAAUUCUCGGAUUUGUUAAAGACUAACUUAUGCGAAAGCAUUUGCCAAGGAUGUUUUCAUUAA